ACACAAAAGCGCAUGUGCUGUGAGCUCGAUGAGUAGGGCGGGACACGUGGUAUCCUGUCUGAAUAUGGGGGGACCAUCCUCCAAGGCUAAAUACUCCUGACUGACCGAUAGUGAACCAGUACCGUGAGGGAAAGGCGAAAAGAACCCCGGCGAGGGGAGUGAAAAAGAACCUGAAACCGUGUACGUACAAGCAGUGGGAGCACCCUUUGGGGUGUGACUGCGUACCUUUUGUAUAAUGGGUCAGCGACUUAUAUUCUGUAGCAAGGUUAACCGAAUAGGGGAGCCGGAGGGAAACCGAGUCUUAACCGGGCGUUAAGUUGCAGGGUAUAGACCCGAAACCCGGUGAUCUAGCCAUGGGCAGGUUGAAGGUUGGGUAACACUAACUGGAGGACCGAACCGACUAAUGUUGAAAAAUUAGCGGAUGACCUGUGGCUGGGGGUGAAAGGCCAAUCAAACCGGGAGAUAGCUGGUUCUCCCCGAAAGCUAUUUAGGUAGCGCCUCGUGAAUUCAUCUCCGGGGGUAGAGCACUGUUUCGGCUAGGGGGCCAUCCCGGCUUACCAACCCGAUGCAAACUGCGAAUACCGGAGAAUGUUAUCACGGGAGACACACGGCGGGUGCUAACGUCCGUCGUGAAGAGGGAAACAACCCAGACCGCCAGCUAAGGUCCCAAAGUCAUGGUUAAGUGGGAAACGAUGUGGGAAGGCCCAGACAGCCAGGAUGUUGGCUUAGAAGCAGCCAUCAUUUAAAGAAAGCGUAAUAGCUCACUGGUCGAGUCGGCCUGCGCGGAAGAUGUAACGGGGCUAAACCAUGCACCGAAGCUGCGGCAGCGACACUCAGGUGUUGUUGGGUAGGGGAGCGUUCUGUAAGCCUGUGAAGGUGUGUCGUGAGGCAUGCUGGAGGUAUCAGAAGUGCGAAUGCUGACAUAAGUAACGAUAAAGCGGGUGAAAAGCCCGCUCGCCGGAAGACCAAGGGUUCCUGUCCAACGUUAAUCGGGGCAGGGUGAGUCGACCCCUAAGGCGAGGCCGAAAGGCGUAGUCGAUGGGAAACGGGUUAAUAUUCCCGUACUUGGUGUUACUGCGAAGGGGGGACGGAGAAGGCUAUGUUGGCCGGGCGACGGUUGUCCCGGUUUAAGCGUGUAGGUGUGUGUUCCAGGUAAAUCCGGUUCACUUUAACACUGAGGCGUGACGACGAGGCACUACGGUGCUGAAGCAACAAAUGCCCUGCUUCCAGGAAAAGCCUCUAAGCAUCAGGUAACAUCAAAUCGUACCCCAAACCGACACAGGUGGUCAGGUAGAGAAUACCAAGGCGCUUGAGAGAACUCGGGUGAAGGAACUAGGCAAAAUGGUGCCGUAACUUCGGGAGAAGGCACGCUGACACGUAGGUGAAGUGAUUUACUCAUGGAGCUGAAGUCAGUCGAAGAUACCAGCUGGCUGCAACUGUUUAUUAAAAACACAGCACUGUGCAAACACGAAAGUGGACGUAUACGGUGUGACGCCUGCCCGGUGCCGGAAGGUUAAUUGAUGGGGUCAGCGCAAGCGAAGCUCCUGAUCGAAGCCCCGGUAAACGGCGGCCGUAACUAUAACGGUCCUAAGGUAGCGAAAUUCCUUGUCGGGUAAGUUCCGACCUGCACGAAUGGCGUAAUGAUGGCCAGGCUGUCUCCACCCGAGACUCAGUGAAAUUGAACUCGCUGUGAAGAUGCAGUGUACCCGCGGCAAGACGGAAAGACCCCGUGAACCUUUACUAUAGCUUGACACUGAACAUUGAGCCUUGAUGUGUAGGAUAGGUGGGA
RNAcentral lists this ribosomal RNA (1789 nucleotides) under Salmonella enterica subsp. enterica. RNAcentral describes it as "bacterial LSU rRNA". It matches the Rfam family "Bacterial large subunit ribosomal RNA", at positions 377 to 2152 of the family's 2925-position model. Lineage: Bacteria; Pseudomonadati; Pseudomonadota; Gammaproteobacteria; Enterobacterales; Enterobacteriaceae. The record is from RNAcentral.